This 20-nucleotide unclassified non-coding RNA is filed under the name Mus musculus (house mouse). Its description in RNAcentral is "oocyte_clustered_small_RNA7024". The record is from RNAcentral. Lineage: Eukaryota; Metazoa; Chordata; Mammalia; Rodentia; Muridae.
UGCAGCACCGCAACCCGAUC